UAAUACGGAGGGUGCAAGCGUUAUCCGGAUUUACUGGGUUUAAAGGGUGCGUAGGUGGGUCUGUAAGUCAGUGGUGAAAUCUCCGGGCUUAACUCGGAAACUGCCAUUGAUACUAUAGGUCUUGAAUUAUCUGGAGGUGAGCGGAAUAUGUCAUGUAGCGGUGAAAUGCUUAGAUAUGACAUAGAACACCAAUUGCGAAGGCAGCUCACUACGGAUAUAUUGACACUGAGGCACGAAAGCGUGGGGAUCAAACAGGAUUAGAUACCCUGGUAGUCCACGCCCUAAACGAUGGAUACUCGACAUACGCGAUACACAGUGUGUGUCUGAGCGAAAGCAUUAAGUAUCCCACCUGGGAAGUACGAUCGCAAGAUUG
RNAcentral lists this ribosomal RNA (373 nucleotides) under uncultured bacterium. RNAcentral describes it as "bacterial SSU rRNA". It matches the Rfam family "Bacterial small subunit ribosomal RNA", at positions 521 to 896 of the family's 1533-position model. The record is from RNAcentral.